UGAGGAAUAUUGGGCAAUGCCCGCAAGGGUGACCCAGCAACGCCGCGUGGAGGAUGAAGGCCGUAAGGUUGUAAACUCCUGUUAGAGGAGAAGAAUAGUAUCGAUUGGAUCGAUAUUUGACUGUACCCUCAGAGAAAGCCCCGGCUAACUACGUGCCAGCAGCCGCGGUAAUACGUAGGGGGCAAGCGUUGUCCGGAUUUACUGGGUGUAAAGGGCGCGCAGGCGGGAUAGCAAGUCAGAGGUGAAAUCCUACAGCUUAACUGUAGAACUGCCUUUGAUACUGUUAUUCUUGAGUUCGGGAGAGAGAGACGGAAUUCCAGGUGUAGUGGUGAAAUACGUAGAUAUCCGGAAGAACACCAGUUGCGAAGGCGGUCUCUUGGUCCGAUACUGACGCUGAGGCGCGAAAGCGUGGGGAGCAAACAGG
RNAcentral lists this ribosomal RNA (424 nucleotides) under uncultured bacterium. Its description in RNAcentral is "bacterial SSU rRNA". It matches the Rfam family "Bacterial small subunit ribosomal RNA", at positions 355 to 776 of the family's 1533-position model. The record is from RNAcentral.